Molecule: non-coding RNA, 243 nt
Organism: Vicia faba (fava bean)
Lineage: Eukaryota; Viridiplantae; Streptophyta; Magnoliopsida; Fabales; Fabaceae
Source: the annotation of a GenBank genome assembly
AUGGCUGAAUGGUUAAAGCGCCCAACUCAUAAUUGGCGAAGUCGUAGGAUAACUAGGACAAAAAGAAAACAUUGGGUCGAACUCUUCUUUGGUGUCAAGGUAAGAACUAUGAAUCAACUCGCAAUCCCAAUAAAGGGUAGAAGAAUACGACCUAUUAUGGGACAUACAAGGCAUUACAAACGUAUGAUCAUUACGCUUCAACCGGGUUAUUCUAUUCCACCUCUUAGAAAGAAAAUAACUUAA